Molecule: ribosomal RNA, 1420 nt
Filed under: uncultured bacterium
Lineage: Bacteria
Description: bacterial SSU rRNA
Rfam family: Bacterial small subunit ribosomal RNA
Source: RNAcentral
AGAGUUUGAUCCUGGCUCAGAUUGAACGCUGGCGGCAGGCUUAACACAUGCAAGUCGAGCGGGGGAAGGUAGCUUGCUACUGGACCUAGCGGCGGACGGGUGAGUAAUGCUUAGGAAUCUGCCUAUUAGUGGGGGACAACAUCUUGAAAGGGAUGCUAAUACCGCAUACGUCCUACGGGAGAAAGCAGGGGAUCUUCGGACCUUGCGCUAAUAGAUGAGCCUAAGUCGGAUUAGCUAGUUGGUGGGGUAAAGGCCUACCAAGGCGACGAUCUGUAGCGGGUCUGAGAGGAUGAUCCGCCACACUGGGACUGGGACACGGCCCAGACUCCUACGGGAGGCAGCAGUGGGGAAUAUUGGACAAUGGGGGGAACCCUGAUCCAGCCAUGCCGCGUGUGUGAAGAAGGCCUUAUGGUUGUAAAGCACUUUAAGCGAGGAGGAGGCUACUUUAGUUAAUACCUAGAGAUAGUGGACGUUACUCGCAGAAUAAGCACCGGCUAACUCUGUGCCAGCAGCCGCGGUAAUACAGAGGGUGCGAGCGUUAAUCGGAUUUACUGGGCGUAAAGCGUGCGUAGGCGGCUUAUUAAGUCGGAUGUGAAAUCCCCGAGCUUAACUUGGGAAUUGCAUUCGAUACUGGUGAGCUAGAGUAUGGGAGAGGAUGGUAGAAUUCCAGGUGUAGCGGUGAAAUGCGUAGAGAUCUGGAGGAAUACCGAUGGCGAAGGCAGCCAUCUGGCCUAAUACUGACGCUGAGGUACGAAAGCAUGGGGAGCAAACAGGAUUAGAUACCCUGGUAGUCCAUGCCGUAAACGAUGUCUACUAGCCGUUGGGGCCUUUGAGGCUUUAGUGGCGCAGCUAACGCGAUAAGUAGACCGCCUGGGGAGUACGGUCGCAAGACUAAAACUCAAAUGAAUUGACGGGGGCCCGCACAAGCGGUGGAGCAUGUGGUUUAAUUCGAUGCAACGCGAAGAACCUUACCUGGCCUUGACAUACUAGAAACUUUCCAGAGAUGGAUUGGUGCCUUCGGGAAUCUAGAUACAGGUGCUGCAUGGCUGUCGUCAGCUCGUGUCGUGAGAUGUUGGGUUAAGUCCCGCAACGAGCGCAACCCUUUUCCUUACUUGCCAGCAUUUCGGAUGGGAACUUUAAGGAUACUGCCAGUGACAAACUGGAGGAAGGCGGGGACGACGUCAAGUCAUCAUGGCCCUUACGGCCAGGGCUACACACGUGCUACAAUGGUCGGUACAAAGGGUUGCUACACAGCGAUGUGAUGCUAAUCUCAAAAAGCCGAUCGUAGUCCGGAUUGGAGUCUGCAACUCGACUCCAUGAAGUCGGAAUCGCUAGUAAUCGCGGAUCAGAAUGCCGCGGUGAAUACGUUCCCGGGCCUUGUACACACCGCCCGUCACACCAUGGGAGUUUGUUGCACCAG